UAUUUUUCAUUUUCAGAAACCCAUUCUUACUCUCACUUAAUCAAAACUCAUUUCUCCUCUUCGCUUAAUCUCUUCAUUUCCUCCGAUUUCAAGCCCAUUUCUUCUUCAUUUUCUCCGAUUCAAGCCCGUGUAGCUCUUUGUUUUUCUUCAGCAAAGCAAAAUUCCAAAUACAAUAGCUCUCUGCUUUUCUUCAGCGCCUCCUCUUUCUUCAGCGCCUCCUCUGUUGCAAAAUGAAAGAGAUAUGAAAGAAAACUUCAGAUCUAUCAAUCAAUUGGAUAAUCUGUGUAUUUUGAAGAAAUUUGGUAGAAUCCGUGUAUUUUGAAUCGGCAGAAAUUUGGUAGUAUCGACAGAAAUUUGGUAGAAUCGGUGUAUUUUGAAGAAGGAUAAAACACUCUUUGUUGAAAUCGAGAUAACUCCUGGGGACCUUCAGAGAAGAUGCAAUUGUCGCCGACUGCUUUCCAAUCAGACUCAAGGU
Molecule: non-coding RNA, 475 nt
Organism: Nicotiana tabacum (common tobacco)
Lineage: Eukaryota; Viridiplantae; Streptophyta; Magnoliopsida; Solanales; Solanaceae
Source: RefSeq, a predicted model, not a curated record